This 465-nucleotide ribosomal RNA is filed under the name uncultured bacterium. RNAcentral's name for it is "partial 16S ribosomal RNA". It matches the Rfam family "Bacterial small subunit ribosomal RNA", at positions 28 to 507 of the family's 1533-position model. The record is from RNAcentral.
GACGAACGCUGGCGGAGGGAGGAACACAUGCAAGUCGAACGGAAAGGCCCCUUUGGGGGUACUCGAGUGGCGAACGGGUGAGUAACACGUGAGUAACCUGCCCUUGACUUCGGGAUAACUUCAGGAAACUGGGGCUAAUACCGGAUAGGAAUCCUUGCUGCAGGGUGGGGGUUGGAAAGCUUCGGCGGUUUUGGAUGGACUCGCGGCUUAUCAGCUUGUUGGUGGGGUAGUGGCUUACCAAGGCUUUGACGGGUAGCCGGCCUGAGAGGGCGACCGGCCACAUUGGGACUGAGAUACGGCCCAGACUCCUACGGGAGGCAGCAGUGGGGAAGAUUGCACAAUGGGCGGAAGCCUGAUGCAGCAACGCCGCGUGCGGGAUGACGGCCUUCGGGUUGUAAACCGCUUUCAGCAGGGGCGAAGCUUGUGGUGACGGUACCUGCAGAAGAAGCACCGGCUAACUACGUG